RNAcentral lists this long non-coding RNA (1384 nucleotides) under Homo sapiens (human). Its description in RNAcentral is "HSALNT0015321". Lineage: Eukaryota; Metazoa; Chordata; Mammalia; Primates; Hominidae. The record is from RNAcentral.
GUAAGUGUUGAAUAGAGAACUAUUUGAUAUGCUAUGACUUGACAAGAUAUAUGACAUUAUAUAAAGCAAUGUAAUGUAUUACUGGCACAUCUAUAAUGUGAGACAAUCCUUGAUGCUAUUCUUAACAUUUUAAGAUUCCUCAGUCCUUGACUGGAACCUUUUAAAAGCAAUCCAGCCACAGCCAGUAGGAAUGGAGGUGGUGAGGAAUGGGAGUGGGGGUGGGAGUGGACAGGACUCUGUUCAUCCUCCUGGGUCCUCCUCAGCACUCACAGCCUGCUCUCUCAUUCUGCCUUGAUGACACUCAGCACUAACUGGUCAUGCCCUCUGCCUGUUUGUCUCAGUCACCAGCAGAAGCUCAGGACUCCCAAAUUGCCUGCCAUCACCAGGAUUCCUCCCUUCCCCAUAGGUCUGCACAAUCCCCAAUGGGACUCCAUCUUCCAUCCUUCUCCAGCACCCUAAACUCCCCACAAGCCCUCAAGACUCAAGGCUGCACAUCGAAAAAAUGUGCUGUAUCAACCAACUCUUCUCACAAAGCCACCUCCACCUUCUUGUCCUAAGUGAAACCUGAGUUCCGCGUAGUCCUCUCAUGGUCUGGCCAUUUUCUUCUUGCCCAUGCCUUUGUACUCAUUGGGCCAAGGAAUGGGCUAGGCAUCCAUUACACCAACCACUGCUUCUCUUCAUUGCAAAUCCCCAGGCACCGUGUGUCUCAAGAUUGUGGCUAAGAGCCAUAGCCCUGGAGGAUGUACAGAAGCAUUGCUGUGGCUUAUGACCCAUGGCCACUGUUGGGUCAGGAAGGACAUUGCUUUAAGAGCAGGCCCUACACCUAUGCCAUUUGGCUGGUUGAAUAGAUGAGGGAAAAAUCUGAAAAGGGUAGAUAGCAACACCAAGGCCAGAAGUCUCCUGGGUAUUGUGCUGAUUGGACCACGUACAAGUUCCUCCCUCAUCCUGGCUUCUGUGUGAAGACAUGGAGCAAAAGACUCAGUUGAGUGAAUAUGCUCAAGCAGAGUAUUUCUCAUGGCUUCUGAAACUGAGAUCUGAGAGGUACAAGCACUGCUGUACCAUCUCCUUCCUGAGCAUGAGAUUCUCCCAAAUAAGGAGGAUCUAGGCAGCAAAAUGUCCUCAAUAAACAGAAAGAAAACUCUGUGAUGGUGUCACCUGCGGCAGCAGCCGUGGAACAGGGUCACUUACAUUUUGGAAACUCCCUCUACUCUACCCUUCUGACUCGCUGCUCUUCACAGCCUUCUCAAAUAGCUCAGACUCUAGAUCUACCUUGGUAGGAAUUUCCACCUGGCUGGCACCUUGUGGGAGUCUGCUUAAAUAAUUCAGAUUAAUGUGAGCUUUUCAGAGCUGAGGAUGGAGUAUCGACAAACAUAUAGGGCACCAG